AAGUAAUUCAGGAUAGGUU
Molecule: non-coding RNA, 19 nt
Filed under: Bos taurus (domestic cattle)
Lineage: Eukaryota; Metazoa; Chordata; Mammalia; Artiodactyla; Bovidae
Also listed under: 1 other name
Source: RNAcentral